Lethenteron reissneri (Far Eastern brook lamprey) is the source of this 86-nucleotide small nucleolar RNA. RefSeq annotates it as small nucleolar RNA SNORD53/SNORD92. NCBI's taxonomy places the organism in Eukaryota, Metazoa, Chordata, Hyperoartia, Petromyzontiformes, Petromyzontidae. The record is from RefSeq and is a predicted model, not a curated record.
UUGCAAUGAUGAUACUUGUGGCUGGUUUCGCUAAACUCUUCUGAGAGGAAAUGAUGCCCUUGUGUUCCACUUGGCUGGCUGAGCAG